RNAcentral lists this ribosomal RNA (497 nucleotides) under uncultured bacterium. Its description in RNAcentral is "partial 16S ribosomal RNA". It matches the Rfam family "Bacterial small subunit ribosomal RNA", at positions 28 to 507 of the family's 1533-position model. The record is from RNAcentral.
GAUGAACGCUGGCGGCGUGCCUAAUACAUGCAGGUCGAGCGAACGGACGAGAAGCUUGCUUCUCUGAUGUUAGCGGCGGACGGGUGAGUAACACGUGGAUAACCUACCUAUAAGACUGGGAUAACUUCGGGAAACCGGAGCUAAUACCGGAUAAUAUUUUGAACCGCAUGGUUCAAAAGUGAAAGACGGUCUUGCUGUCACUUAUAGAUGGAUCCGCGCUGCAUUAGCUAGUUGGUAAGGUAACGGCUUACCAAGGCAACGAUGAAUAGCCGACCUGAGAGGGUGAUCGGCCACACUGGAACUGAGACACGGUCCAGACUCCUACGGGAGGCAGCAGUAGGGAAUCUUCCGCAAUGGGCGAAAGCCUGACGGAGCAACGCCGCGUGAGUGAUGAAGGUCUUCGGAUCGUAAAACUCUGUUAUUAGGGAAGAACAUAUGUGUAAGUAACUGUGCACAUCUUGACGGUACCUAACCAGAAAGCCACGGCUAACUACGUG